RNA transcript from Panicum hallii, 3089 nucleotides. It is a transcript of the gene named auxin response factor 15-like, with no coding region annotated. NCBI's taxonomy places the organism in Eukaryota, Viridiplantae, Streptophyta, Magnoliopsida, Poales, Poaceae. The transcript has 12 exons. The record is from RefSeq and is a predicted model, not a curated record.
GGCAGCAGCUGCUGACCAGCGACCACCCUUUUUUUACUCCCCGAGGACGCAGCAGCGCCGCAGUGGGGAUCGUAGUAGUAGUAGAAGUACUAUUGAUUUCCACUGGCACGCACGGCCGUCCCCGUCCUCUCCCCCGCCCUGCAUCUUUUCCGGCCGCUGCUGGUUCGUGCCGGCUGGCUCCCAGCGACAGCCUCCGCCACUCCCCUCGUCUCCCUUCAUCCCCUAGCUGGCUACCCCAGGUAGCUGCCUGUAGCCUCAGCCCCGCCAUAACCCCCACAUUCAUGACCAUUACCACGAUGUGUCACCCCACCACACCGCCCCCUCCGCCAUAACCCUGCUGCGUGCUUGCGCUUUGGUGCUUUGCUUUGCCUCCCCCCUGCGACCCCCCGCACCCCACCCUCCUCAUUAAUCACUUGCUGGCUCCGUCGGCUCGGCGCGCUGCCCUGCCUCCCUUCUCGUGCUCCGCGCUCGCGCCCGCAGCAGCAGCCAUGACGGGGAUCGACCUCAACGACACCGUGGAGGAGGACGAGGCGGAGGCGGAGGCAGGGAACUCGUGCUCCCAGCAGAGCCGCUCCAGCUCCGCGGCUACGGGGACGCCGCCGCCGCCGGGGCCGGGCGCCGCGGUGUGCCUCGAGCUGUGGCACGCGUGCGCCGGCCCCGUCGCGCCGCUGCCGCGGAAGGGGAGCGUCGUGGUGUACCUCCCGCAGGGCCACCUCGAGCACCUCGGCGACGCCGCGGCGGCGGCAGGUGGCGGUACCGUGCCGCCCCACGUCUUCUGCCGCGUGGUCGACCUCACCCUCCAUGCGGACGCGUCCACGGACGAGGUGUACGCGCAGCUCGCCCUCGUCGCCGAGAACGAGGAGGUCGCGAGGCGGCUCCGCGGAGGGUCGGAGGACGGGAGCGGCGGCGACGGCGAGGACGGGGACACCGUGAGGCAGCGGUUCUCGCGGAUGCCGCACAUGUUCUGCAAGACGCUCACGGCGUCCGACACCAGCACGCACGGCGGCUUCUCCGUGCCGCGCCGCGCCGCCGAAGACUGCUUCCCGCCUCUGGAUUACAGCCAGCAGCGACCGUCGCAGGAACUUGUCGCCAAGGAUUUGCACGGAACCGAGUGGAGGUUCCGCCACAUCUAUCGAGGCCAGCCCCGCAGGCACCUUUUAACCACUGGAUGGAGUGCAUUUGUCAACAAGAAGAAGCUUGUCUCAGGGGACGCCGUACUAUUUCUGCGGGGAGAUGAUGGCGAGCUAAGACUUGGAGUGCGCCGUGCAGCUCAGCUUAAAAAUGGAUCUGCUUUUCCAGCUCUUUAUAAUCAGUGUUCAAAUCUUGGUUCACUAGCAAACAUAGCACAUGCUGUUGCCACCAAAAGUGUGUUCCACAUCUACUAUAACCCCAGAUUAAGUCAGUCUGAAUUCAUUAUACCAUAUUCGAAGUUCAUGAAGAGCUUCAGUCAACCAUUUUCUGCUGGGUUGAGGUUCAAAAUGAGAUAUGAGAGUGAUGAUGCUACGGAAAGAAGAUACACGGGGAUCAUAGCAGGAAUUGGUGAUGCUGACCCAAUGUGGCGUGGUUCCAAGUGGAAAUGUUUGAUGGUCAGAUGGGAUGAUGAUGUAGAUUUCCGUCGACCAAACAGGAUUUCUCCUUGGGAGAUCGAGCUGACUAGUUCAGUUUCAGGAUCCCAUCUGUCUGCACCAAAUGCGAAGAGACUGAAACCAUGUCUUCCCCAUGUCAAUCCAGACUACCUAGUUCCAAAUGGAAGUGGUCGUCCUGAUUUUGCGGAAUCUGCCCAAUUCCACAAGGUCUUGCAAGGUCAAGAAUUAUUGGGUUAUAGAACUCGUGACAAUGAUGCUAUUGCUACUUCUCAGCCAUGUGAAGCAAGGAAUAUGCACUACAUUGAUGAGCGUAGUUGCUCCAAUGAUGCGAGUAACAAUAUCCCAGGGGUUCCGAGACAUGGUGCCAGAACACCACUAGGAAACCCUGGGUUUCCCUACCAUUGCUCAGGCUUUGGGGAAUCUCAAAGAUUCCAAAAGGUCUUGCAAGGUCAAGAAGUAUUUCGUCCGUACCGAGGAACUCUAGCUGAUGCGUGUCUGAGAAAUAAUGCCUUUCAUCAGCAAGAUGGUUCUCAUGCGCCUAGUGUGGCGAAUAAAUGGCACACACAACUUCAUGGAUGUGCUUUUCGUGGGUCACCUGCACCAAUGAAUCCAUCUCAAUCCUCAUCCCCACCAUCCGUCCUAAUCUUUCAACAAGGUAAUUCGAAGUUGUCCCAAUUUGAAUUUGGGCAUGGCCCCUUGGAUAAGAAUGUAGAUGGUAGACCUGCUAUGCUGGGCCAUGCUGGAGGUAUUGGAGGAACUGAGCAAACUUUGAUGCUCCAGCCUCAUCAUGUUUCUGAAGAAGUGGGAAAUAGGCAUGCAAUAGUUGAGAAAUUUCACUCUGUUGGGAAGGAUGGAACAGAUAACAGGGAUGUUAACACAAACAGUUGCAAAAUAUUUGGCAUAUCUUUGGCAGAGAAGGUUCCGUCGAGCAAACAAAAGGAAUGUGGUGAUGCCAAUUAUCCAUCCCCGUUCCUAUCUUUGAAGCAACAAGUGCCAAAAUCGUUGGGCAACAGUUGUGCCACUGUUCAUGAGCAAAGGCCUGUUGUUGGCAGGGUGAUUGAUCUUUCAACCAUGGAUAUGAUGAUCUGAUCUGUUAGUCAAAUUAUCUUGGAGGUGAAGAAAUGCUAGUGCUGCUUUCGUCUUCAUGUUAGUGGGACUUUUCUGUUGUGUACUGUGGAUAGUCUCAGGUUGAUGAUUGGGCCUGGGGGAAAAUGUAUGGAUCGAGGAUGCUGAUCAAACUUGUAUCCUAGCUGUAGUGUUAGAGCACUUUAUAUGACCUUCUUUAGUGCUCCAUGUUAUCAGCACUUGUUGCUGCUCAGAACUUGCCUGUAUUCUUCUAAGCUGUAUGCUAUAACAAACCCAUUUAUAGAGGGUUUGUUUGCUUUAGCAUCGAUGUAGACUAUCAUGAGAACAUAAUUUGCUUGGGGCUGCUUAGCGCCUCCACCCCGUUCAAGCUAUCUUGUCGAUCAGAGUUCACUAUAUACAGGAUUAAUGGUGGCGGCA